Molecule: ribosomal RNA, 521 nt
Filed under: uncultured bacterium
Lineage: Bacteria
Description: bacterial SSU rRNA
Rfam family: Bacterial small subunit ribosomal RNA
Source: RNAcentral
UCAGGACGAACGCUGGCGGCGUGCCUAAUACAUGCAAGUCGAACGGUCUUUCUAUGGAAGCUUGCUUCCACUGAGAAGAUAGUGGCGGACGGGUGAGUAACACGUGGGUAACCUGCCCAUAAGAGGGGGAUAACAUCCGGAAACGGGUGCUAAUACCGCAUAGUUUUCUUGAUCGCAUGAUUGAGAAAGGAAAGACGGCCUUUGUGCUGUCGCUUAUGGAUGGACCCGCGGCGUAUUAGUUAGUUGGUGAGGUAACGGCUCACCAAGACGAUGAUACGUAGCCGACCUGAGAGGGUGAUCGGCCACAUUGGGACUGAGACACGGCCCAAACUCCUACGGGAGGCAGCAGUAGGGAAUCUUCCGCAAUGGACGAAAGUCUGACGGAGCAACGCCGCGUGAGUGAAAGAAGGUUUUCGGAUCGUAAAACUCUGUUGUCAGAGAAGAACAAGUCGGAGAGUAACUGCUCCGGCCUUGACGGUAUCUGACCAGAAAGCCACGGCUAACUACGUGCCAGCCGCCGC